RNAcentral lists this ribosomal RNA (557 nucleotides) under Agroathelia rolfsii. Its description in RNAcentral is "eukaryotic LSU rRNA". It matches the Rfam family "Eukaryotic large subunit ribosomal RNA", at positions 1 to 555 of the family's 3401-position model. Lineage: Eukaryota; Fungi; Basidiomycota; Agaricomycetes; Amylocorticiales; Amylocorticiaceae. The record is from RNAcentral.
CCAUUUGACCUCAAAUCAGGUAGGACUACCCGCUGAACUUAAGCAUAUCAAUAAGCGGAGGAAAAGAAACUAACAAGGAUUCCCCUAGUAACUGCGAGUGAAGCGGGAAAAGCUCAAAUUUAAAAUCUGGUAGUCUCUGGCUGCCCGAGUUGUAAUCUGGAGAAGUGUUUUCUGUGCUGGGCCGUGUACAAGUCUCUUGGAAUAGAGCGUCAUAGAGGGUGAGAAUCCCGUCUUUGACACGGACAUCCAGUGCUCUGUGAUGCACUCUCAAAGAGUCGAGUUGUUUGGGAAUGCAGCUCAAAAUGGGUGGUAAAUUCCAUCUAAAGCUAAAUAUUGGCAAGAGACCGAUAGCGAACAAGUACCGUGAGGGAAAGAUGAAAAGAACUUUGGAAAGAGAGUUAAACAGUACGUGAAAUUGUUGAAAGGGAAACGCUUGAAGUCAGUCGCGUCUAGCAAGGAUCAGCCUUUCUCGGAAGGUGUAUUUCUUGCUUGACGGGUCAACAUCAAUUUUGAYUACUGGAAAAAGGCCAGAGGAAGGUGGCACCUUCGGGUGUGUU